CCUACGGGAGGCAGCAGUGGGGAAUCUUGCACAAUGGGGGAAACCCUGACGCAGCGACGCCGCGUGAGUGAAGAAGUUUUUCGUUACGUAAAGCUCUAUUAGCAGGGAAGAAAAUGACCGUAACUGAGUCAGAAGCCCCGGCUAACUACGUGCCAGCAGCCGCGGUAAUACGUAGGGGGCAAGCGUUCUCCGGAUUGACUGGGUGAAAGGGGAGCGUAGGCGGCAGUGCAAGUCUGGAGUGAAAGGCGGGGGCUCAACCCCGGGACGGCACUGGAAACUGGACGACUUGAGUGCAGAAGAGGUGAGUGGAAUUCCAAGUGUAGCGGUGAAAUGCGUAGAUAUUAGGAGGAACACCAGUGGCGAAGGCGGCUUACUGGUCUGUAACUGACGCUGAGGCUCGAAAGCGUGGGGAGCAAACAGGAUUAGAUACCCUAGUAGUC
RNAcentral lists this ribosomal RNA (440 nucleotides) under uncultured bacterium. Its description in RNAcentral is "partial 16S ribosomal RNA". It matches the Rfam family "Bacterial small subunit ribosomal RNA", at positions 338 to 795 of the family's 1533-position model. The record is from RNAcentral.